This 119-nucleotide ribosomal RNA is filed under the name Helianthus annuus (common sunflower). The record is from RNAcentral. Lineage: Eukaryota; Viridiplantae; Streptophyta; Magnoliopsida; Asterales; Asteraceae.
GGUUGCGAUCAUACCAGCACUAAUGCACCGGAUCCCAUCAUAACUCCGUAGUUAAGCGUGCUUGGGCGAGAGUAAUACUAGGAUGGGUGACCUCCUGGGAAGUCCUCGUGUUGCAACCC